GAAGCUUUGGAUGAGUUUGGCAAACCAUGGCAGUUGAAUGAAGGGGAUGGUGCAUUCUAUGGACCGAAGAUAGACAUCAGUGUAUCUGAUGCAUUGAGUAUGACACAAUUUUUAAAGUUAUAUUUAUUUUUUUAUUAUUUAACAAGUGCUCUAAGAAUACUUGUUAUUAUUUUCUUAAUUUUAUAGUCAUACACAUUUGUGUGCAUUAUUUGCUUUUCAACUUGAGAGUAUAUCUGACGAUGUGAUAA
Cicer arietinum (chickpea) is the source of this 248-nucleotide non-coding RNA. Lineage: Eukaryota; Viridiplantae; Streptophyta; Magnoliopsida; Fabales; Fabaceae. The record is from RefSeq and is a predicted model, not a curated record.